GACGAACGCUGGCGGCGUGCUUAACACAUGCAAGUCGAACGGAAAGGCCCUGCUUGUGUGGGGUGCUCGAGUGGCGAACGGGUGCGUAACACGUGAGUAACCUGCCCUUCACUUUGGGAUAACUUCAGGAAACUGGGGCUACUAUCAUAUAGCAGCUCCUGCUCCAGUGUGGGGGUUGGAAAGUCUCGGCGGUUGUGGAUGGACGCGCGGCUUAUCGGAUUGUUGGUUGGGUAGUGGCUUACCAAGGCUUUGACUGAUAGCCGGCCUGAGAGGGUGACCGGCCACAUUGGGCCUGAGAUACGGACCAGACGCGUACGGGAGGCAGCAGGGGGGAAUAUUGCACAACGGGAGGAAGUCGGAUGCAGCAACGCCGCGUGCGGGAUGACGGCCUUCGGGGUGUAAAACGCUUUCGCCUGUGACGAAGCGUGAGUGACGGUAAUGAGUAAAGAAGCACCGGCUAACUACGUG
RNAcentral lists this ribosomal RNA (468 nucleotides) under uncultured bacterium. RNAcentral describes it as "partial 16S ribosomal RNA". It matches the Rfam family "Bacterial small subunit ribosomal RNA", at positions 28 to 507 of the family's 1533-position model. The record is from RNAcentral.